GAUGGACCCCCACGCCGCUGUCUCUUUCCCACAUCGAGGUGUCCCCCACCCUCUCCCUCUCGCUAGUUCCAUGGCGGCCGCCGGCUAUGGCCGCCAGAUCCGCCUUCUCCACCAACGUUCGGCACUGGAUCCGGCUUCCGUGGCCGGUACCGCGACACACACAAAACCGGCGCGCGGCGCGGCUGUACCACGAGGCCGGCGAGGAGCGAUGCCGGAUCCACUGCCGUGGGCGUUGGGGAGACCUACUCCGGCGAGGUUCCUCGAUCCCGCCUACCAGAAGCCCGUCCACCGGCAUCUGUGCUGCCCCAGCGGCCGUGCUCGCCGUUCGUGGCUCCGUGCAGCACGGGCACCACGACGAGUCGCCACGCACGGUUGUUGCCAGAUCUGGCGACUCCAAGCCUGACCGCCAUCGGAUCUGAUCAUCGGCCUCCGCUCCCUCUUCAAUUUCAGUUAUUUGAAUGUUUGUGACAGAGGGCAUGUGAUACACUUUUUUGGAAGAGAACCAAGAGUGAAUAAAUUUCAGAAAUAAAGUUACAGCUAUGUACCUGUGUGUGUAGUUGAGAACCAAGAUUGAAAUAUUUUUUGAAAGUGUUGAAAUGAUAUUUCAGUGAGA
This is a long non-coding RNA of Triticum dicoccoides, 613 nucleotides long. RefSeq lists it as uncharacterized. The transcript is spliced from 2 exons. The record is from RefSeq and is a predicted model, not a curated record. Lineage: Eukaryota; Viridiplantae; Streptophyta; Magnoliopsida; Poales; Poaceae.